CUGAACUGGAUCAAAAAGUACUAAGAAGUUCAAAAGCUAAAGAUUGUCAAAAUCGGGCCAGUUUGCAGAAUUCUGAAGUGCAAGGAUGCAACUACUGUAGAUGUGAAAAAAAAGGAGGCGAUUGAAUAUUUUCUUAAUAACCUUUGUGAAAAGUAUGAGGGAAAAAGGCAUUCAUACUUCUGUUACUAUGAUUCGUGGUGAAACUAUUGACGAUUCUCAUUGAUACACUCUUGCAUGGACCCUAUCAAUUUGAGGAUAUUCAUAAUCUGUAAAAACGUUAAAUAUGUGAUAUUUCCAAUGCGAUCAAAAUGAUGGAAUAUUCUUACUUUCCAAGGAGCUGGAGAAAUUGAGUUGUAUAGUUAUUAAGGGACAUUAAGAAAUUUUGAUUUCAUUUACCACUAUUUGUAUUUGCAAUUGACAAUAUUGCUUUCUCUACAAAAUAAAUAAAAUGAUUGAUGUGUUAAAAUGAAA
Anneissia japonica is the source of this 471-nucleotide long non-coding RNA. RefSeq lists it as uncharacterized. The transcript has 2 exons. The record is from RefSeq and is a predicted model, not a curated record. Lineage: Eukaryota; Metazoa; Echinodermata; Crinoidea; Comatulida; Comatulidae.